GACGAACGCUGGCGGCGUGCUUAACACAUGCAAGUCGAACGGUAAGGCCGAGCUUGCUCUGUGUCUCAGAGUCGAACGCGUGAGUAACACGUGAGCGACCCGUGCCUGAGACUGGGAUAAGCGCUCGAAAAGGCGUGUCUUACUGCAUAUAGGCUGCCCCGCCACAGUCAGGAGUUGGGAAGAUUUCGGCGGUUGGGGAUGGACCCGCGGCUUAUCAGCUUGUUGGUGGGGUAGUGGCUUACCAAGGCUUUGACGGGUAGCCGGCCUGAGAGGGUGACCGGCCACAUUGGGACUGAGAUACGGCCCAGACUCCUACGGGAGGCAGCAGUGGGGAAUAUUGCACAAUGGGCGGAAGCCUGAUGCAGCAACGCCGCGUGCGGGAUGACGGCCUUCGGGUUGUAAACCGCUUUCGCCUGUGACGAAGCGUGAGUGACGGUAAUGGGUAAAGAAGCACCGGCUAACUACGUG
RNAcentral lists this ribosomal RNA (468 nucleotides) under uncultured bacterium. RNAcentral's name for it is "partial 16S ribosomal RNA". It matches the Rfam family "Bacterial small subunit ribosomal RNA", at positions 28 to 507 of the family's 1533-position model. The record is from RNAcentral.